GGACUAUCAUGUCGGUCGUGCCUCGGUACGUACUGGUAUUGUUGGUUUCUCCCUUCUGACGAACCAUGAUGUCAUUUAUUUGGAGUUGUUGGGGAAUCAGGACUGUUACUUUGAAAAAAUUAGAGUGUUUAAAGCAAGCUAACGCUUGAAUACAUUAGCAUGGAAUAAUGAAAUAGGACUUUGGUUCUAUUUUGUUGGUUUCUAGGACCGACGUA
RNAcentral lists this ribosomal RNA (215 nucleotides) under Campeiostachys nutans. RNAcentral's name for it is "Elymus nutans partial small subunit ribosomal RNA". The stretch from base 31 to 215 matches the Rfam family "Eukaryotic small subunit ribosomal RNA", at positions 677 to 864 of the family's 1831-position model. Lineage: Eukaryota; Viridiplantae; Streptophyta; Magnoliopsida; Poales; Poaceae. The record is from RNAcentral.